Long non-coding RNA from Diceros bicornis minor, 1303 nucleotides. RefSeq lists it as uncharacterized. Lineage: Eukaryota; Metazoa; Chordata; Mammalia; Perissodactyla; Rhinocerotidae. The transcript has 3 exons. The record is from RefSeq and is a predicted model, not a curated record.
UUGGCUUUUCUUUGUUAAGCAAGGAGCAAGAUGGGAAAGGAGUUUUUGUCCAUUUCUGGGUGUUACAGCAAGGAGACAACUGUGUGCCCCUGGAGGCUGAAGUAAAGACAAAAGAGAACCAAGAAGGAGGUGUAAAUACCGAGAAGAGAGAAAUCACUAAUACAGCCACAUGAGAUCACGUGUUGAGAUGGAGGCUCUAUCAACCUGUAACAUGAAUGACUAUGAUAAGCAGAGUCCCCAUGCUAACCUGCAAGGCAUGGGCAAGAUGUGCUGCAUGCCUGUGAAUUAUACCCCAAGUGUGACAGACGAUGACUAUUUGGAGGAUGCCAAGUAGCAGUUGCCCUAGCAACAAUAACCAGGGGAUGCUUCUCAGAACUUCUACCUCCUCUCUUCCCCAUCAUUUUCCCUGUUUUGAGAGUUAGAUAACAUGGUUACCAGAAUUAGUCGAAGAGGGUUCCCACCCCCACCCCCCACCUAGCAUAAUGAAAGAGAGAAAACUUAGAAAUGUCUGCCUUUUUCUUACUAUCAGGGGCAAUUCAGCAUAUCUCUGCAGUCAAGACGGAAAGGAGGGCGACUCUUAGAGGGAAAGAGCUGUGCGCUCUCAUCCUAAUAAAUGCUUGGUGGUGGGAGAAUUAAUUGUCAGAACUGCUACUGCGAACCACUUGUGAGGAAUGAAAAAAAUCCUUGUUGAAUUUCCACACGUGGGCUAAAAGAACAGUAUGUAAAUUGGAUUGCAAGAUGCUAUGUGCUGUGAGUGGAAAUUUCUGGUCUCUUCUGAAUCUGAUAUGGCAGAUUUAAUGUUACUUUCUUAAAAAAAAUGAAAGUGUAAUCUAGACAGGGAGAUGGAAAUUUUCUUUAAUUACCUAUGACUUUAUUGAUAUGUACAUCCCCUCCCCCAAAUAAAUAUUCAGAUUAAAGCAGAGAACGAAGUUUAAGGGAAAUUCUAUGUGCUAAGAGCAGAGUGGAUUUCUGUGAAGCAAAAGAAGCCUAAGCUUGAGGGUCUCACACCUACAAGGGCCCCUUCCAAGGCCCUGAAUCUAAAUUUGCAUUUGUAAAUAUAUUACUAUUAUUCUUAAAAAGCCGCUCUGAUUAUAUACACUUUGAGCUCCACAGAUUCUGGAUCCACCCCUCAAGAAAGGGGUGAAAUAUAAGAGAUUUAUUUGAUCAUAUAUUAUUGCUAUUGUAUCACUUUUUUAUGACAUUCAGAUUUCUUACCUUGUAGUUCUAUUUUGAAUAUUCGUGUCUGUUUUUACUAUUUUUCCUCUUGCUUUGGGGGAUAUUAUUGAUUUUCCAUUAAUCUUAA